CCUACGGGGGGCAGCAGUGGGGAAUAUUGCACAAUGGGGGGAACCCUGAUGCAGCAACGCCGCGUGAGUGAAGAAGUAUUUCGGUAUGUAAAGCUCUAUCAGCAGGGAAGAAGAUGACGGUACCUGAGUAAGAAGCCCCGGCUAACUACGUGCCAGCAGCCGCGGUAAUACGUAGGGGGCAAGCGUUAUCCGGAUUUACUGGGUGUAAAGGGAGCGUAGACGGCGAGGCAAGUCUGGAGUGAAAGCCCGGGGCUCAACCCCGGGACUGCUUUGGAAACUGCCUGGCUGGAGUGCUGGAGAGGCAAGCGGAAUUCCUAGUGUAGCGGUGAAAUGCGUAGAGAUCAUACAGAACACCGAUUGCGAAGGCAGCUUACCAAGCUACUUCUGACGUUGAGGCACGAAAGCGUGGGGAGCAAACAGGAUUAGAUACCCCGGUAGUC
RNAcentral lists this ribosomal RNA (440 nucleotides) under uncultured bacterium. RNAcentral describes it as "partial 16S ribosomal RNA". It matches the Rfam family "Bacterial small subunit ribosomal RNA", at positions 338 to 795 of the family's 1533-position model. The record is from RNAcentral.